AGGCGCGAAAACUUUACAAUGCCGGCAACGGCGAUAAGGGGACCUCGAGUGCCAGGUUACAAAUCUGGCUGUCGUGAUGCCUAAAAAGCAUUGCAUAGCAAGGGCCGGGCAAGACCGGUGCCAGCCGCCGCGGUAA
This 136-nucleotide ribosomal RNA is filed under the name uncultured archaeon. RNAcentral describes it as "partial 16S ribosomal RNA". It matches the Rfam family "Archaeal small subunit ribosomal RNA", at positions 337 to 473 of the family's 1478-position model. The record is from RNAcentral.